Molecule: ribosomal RNA, 561 nt
Filed under: uncultured bacterium
Lineage: Bacteria
Description: bacterial SSU rRNA
Rfam family: Bacterial small subunit ribosomal RNA
Source: RNAcentral
CCUACGGGAGGCAGCAGUGGGGAAUCUUGCGCAAUGGGCGAAAGCCUGACGCAGCAACGCCGCGUGCGGGAAGAAGGCUUUCGGGCUGUAAACCGCUUUCAGCAGGAACGAAAAUGACGGUACCUGCAGAAGAAGGAGCGGCCAACUAUGUGCCAGCAGCCGCGGUGAUACAUAGGCUUCAAGCGUUGUCCGGAUUUAUUGGGCGUAAAGAGUUCGUAGGCGGUCGAGUAAGUCGGGUGUGAAAAUUCUGGGCUCAACCCAGAGACGCCACCCGAUACUGCUUGACUUGAGUUCGAUAGGGGAGUGGGGAAUUCCUAGUGUAGCGGUGAAAUGCGCAGAUAUUAGGAGGAACACCGGUGGCGAAGGCGCCACUCUGGAUCGAUACUGACGCUGAGGAACGAAAGCAUGGGUAGCAAACAGGAUUAGAUACCCUGGUAGUCCAUGCCGUAAACGGUGGGCACUAGGUGUGGGUUUCUAUUAACGAAAUCCGCGCCGUCGCUAACGCAUUAAGUGCCCCGCCUGGGGAGUACGGUCGCAAGACUAAAACUANAGAAUUGACGG